AUAAAAAACAAAAUAUAGUCCCUGCGGAAACCCCCCGAACAUUCUUUCCCAUGCGUGGAAAGAAUAACCGUAUUAUAGUAGUAUUUGGAAUAUAAAUUAAAGGACCCUAUUCAAUUUAGGAUCUUGCAUGAAUUAGUAAUAUUAAACGAUUAAAAUACUAAGAAUUGGAUGUGGACUUUGGAAUAAGUUGAGAUGCGACAAUACCGAUGCCU
Non-coding RNA from Schizosaccharomyces pombe (fission yeast), 212 nucleotides. NCBI's taxonomy places the organism in Eukaryota, Fungi, Ascomycota, Schizosaccharomycetes, Schizosaccharomycetales, Schizosaccharomycetaceae. The record is from the annotation of a GenBank genome assembly.